Molecule: long non-coding RNA, 620 nt
Organism: Bos taurus (domestic cattle)
Lineage: Eukaryota; Metazoa; Chordata; Mammalia; Artiodactyla; Bovidae
Source: Ensembl
GAUGGUUGCCAGGGGGCUCUGCUCUGAGUCAUCCCCUGGGACCCAGGAUGAUAGAGCAGCUACUUUCUGGAAAUUUGGUGGCUACCUGGGCAGUAGGUUAAUAGAGUUUGGUGAAGAAAGGGUUUUCUCUUAAAGCUUCUGACCGUAAGUGUUGUCACUUGGGUAGAAAUGUGUACUUCAUUGGCCAGAGAGUCACCGGAUCACAAACAGGAGAUGGCUCAGAUGGUAAAGAAUCUGCCUGCGAUUCAGGAGACACAAGAGAUGUGGGUUCAAUCUCUGGGUCAGGAAGAUCUCCUGGAGAAGGGAAUAACAACCGACUCCAGUAUUCUUGCCUGGAGAAUCCCAUGGACAGAGGAGCCUGACUGGCUACAGUCCAUGGGGUCGCACAGAGUCAGACAUGAAUGAGCUACUAACACAUAGGCUCCCCAUGCUGUGUGAUUAAUAAUCGAGGUGUCACAAACAGUGUGUUCCUCUCUGGCGCCUGAGAAAUACAGCUGCUGAGGCCAGCUCGUCUCAUUGGCAGCCUGGGACAAUGAUUUCUUCUGCGUGAGCCUCUUCUGACCAAUUCUUGGAUCCUGACUCUCUGAUGAGUUAUGCUGUGAUGAAUGACAAAUAAACAC